Molecule: microRNA precursor, 136 nt
Filed under: Gossypium arboreum
Lineage: Eukaryota; Viridiplantae; Streptophyta; Magnoliopsida; Malvales; Malvaceae
Description: MIR7502 microRNA precursor family
Rfam family: MIR7502 microRNA precursor family
Source: Rfam by way of RNAcentral
UAUUAAAAAAUUCAUCUAUUUCUAUUGUUAAAAACUAGCAUGGUUAAUAGAAUAACCAAAUAGUGGCAUGUCGUUUGCCAUGUGUACCUCAUGCUGACUUUCUGGAACCAGUUAAAAAUGGAUGGAAUUUUUAACA